GGUCGUGUGGCUCAGUAGUAGAGCACUUGCUUCACAUGCAUGAGGCACUGGGUUCCAUUCUCAGCACUACAU
RNAcentral lists this transfer RNA (72 nucleotides) under Ictidomys tridecemlineatus (thirteen-lined ground squirrel). RNAcentral's name for it is "Spermophilus tridecemlineatus (thirteen-lined ground squirrel) tRNA". It matches the Rfam family "tRNA". Rfam says of the family: Transfer RNA (tRNA) molecules are approximately 80 nucleotides in length. Their secondary structure includes four short double-helical elements and three loops (D, anti-codon, and T loops). Lineage: Eukaryota; Metazoa; Chordata; Mammalia; Rodentia; Sciuridae. The record is from Rfam by way of RNAcentral.